AUCCAGCUGAAGAGUCCCAAAUAGGACGAAACGCACAUCUUGGAU
RNAcentral lists this non-coding RNA (45 nucleotides) under Schistosoma mansoni. The record is from RNAcentral. Lineage: Eukaryota; Metazoa; Platyhelminthes; Trematoda; Strigeidida; Schistosomatidae.